CGGCCCGCGCGACGGCGGCGCGAUCGGCUGGGCCUGGGUGGCCCACGGCUCGGGCCGGUUCGACUCCGGUGGUGCCGCC
Molecule: transfer RNA, 79 nt
Filed under: Isoptericola dokdonensis DS-3
Lineage: Bacteria; Bacillati; Actinomycetota; Actinomycetes; Micrococcales; Promicromonosporaceae
Description: tRNA-Pro
Source: RNAcentral